Molecule: long non-coding RNA, 591 nt
Organism: Psammomys obesus (fat sand rat)
Lineage: Eukaryota; Metazoa; Chordata; Mammalia; Rodentia; Muridae
Exons: 2
Source: RefSeq, a predicted model, not a curated record
UGCAGAACUCUCAGCUCCUCCUCCAGCACCGCAUCUGCCCGCAUGCCACCAUGCUGCCCACUAUGACGACAAUGCACUGAACCACUGAAACUAUGAUGGAACAAUGAUGCCAUCUUCAAACGUGAUGUUAAACCCUUGAUGCUAUGCCUUGGUGUUGGGCCGUCCAGUUUCCAGGAAACAAACUUCUGCUCCUCAAAAUCACCCUGUCUCAGGUGUGCUGUCACAGUAGCACAACGGGACAGAGAAAGCACUCUGAGCCAGCGCUGGGCUCAGCUCCCCACCCCCUCACACACUCCACACUGAGCAGCACCGGUGCCGAGUGUCCAGUCUUUCUUCUAUGUGAUGUGGGAGGUGGAGCAACAGCAUGAGCAGAGACCAAAGGCCAACAGUGGUAAACCACAGUCAGAACUACAGCCACGUGGUCAAGCAACUGUCAUCAUGUCCUCAGGACUUUUUUUUUUUUUUUUUAAUGGAAAUGAUCAGUACACUGAAUUAGAGAACUUUUGAAGAAUCAGAACAGGGAUCAUGGCCAUGAAACAUAACACUUACACAUUUGAGAUAACUUGACAGAUAAAUGGAUUUUAACUCUUA